RNAcentral lists this ribosomal RNA (21 nucleotides) under Hebeloma vesterholtii. RNAcentral describes it as "partial 28S ribosomal RNA". Lineage: Eukaryota; Fungi; Basidiomycota; Agaricomycetes; Agaricales; Hymenogastraceae. The record is from RNAcentral.
CAAAUCAGGUAGGACUACCCG